GCCAGGUGUGGUGGCGCACACCUGUAAUCCCAGCAGCUCGGGAGGCUGAGGGAAGAGGAUCACGAGUUCAAAGCCAGCCUCAGCAGCUUAGUGAGGCCCUAAGCAACUCAGUGGGACCCUGUCUCCA
Molecule: small RNA, 127 nt
Filed under: Marmota monax (woodchuck)
Lineage: Eukaryota; Metazoa; Chordata; Mammalia; Rodentia; Sciuridae
Source: RNAcentral